GGUUUGUGGCUCAGUGGUACAGCGCUUGUCUAGCACAUGUGAGACCCUGGGUUCAAAUCUCAGCACUG
RNAcentral lists this transfer RNA (68 nucleotides) under Marmota monax (woodchuck). RNAcentral's name for it is "tRNA.Ala". The stretch from base 5 to 65 matches the Rfam family "tRNA", at positions 6 to 65 of the family's 71-position model. From Rfam's summary of the family: Transfer RNA (tRNA) molecules are approximately 80 nucleotides in length. Their secondary structure includes four short double-helical elements and three loops (D, anti-codon, and T loops). The record is from RNAcentral. Lineage: Eukaryota; Metazoa; Chordata; Mammalia; Rodentia; Sciuridae.